GAUGAUAAAGAAAGAAGCUUUUGGACACUCCUCAUGCUUAUGUAGUAGCUGAUGCGGUAUACAAUGCAAUGAUAGCAGAUGAAGUAAGCCUGGCUUUAAUUAUCAGUUUAAGCUUAAAAGGAUAAGAGAGUGGACGGAAGGGGCACAAAAUGAGGAAAUUGACUGAUAAGAAAGGAGGGAGGUGCAAAAAAAAAAGAAAAAAAGAAAGAAAAAAAGAAAAAAAAGAAAGGAGGUUCAAAAAAGAAAAAGAAAAAAAAGUAAGAUGGAGAUGCAUGCAAAAAAAGAAGAUAAAGCGUUGUUGGUGGAGAUGGAAUCAAGAACUGUUACAAGGGACAAAAGGAGUUGAUAUAGGAGAGGAAUGAGGCUGACAUAGGGGGAACAAGAUGAGGGAAGUUGCCUGACAAGAAAGAAGGAGAUGCAAAAAAGAAAAAAAGAAAGAAGGAGAUGCACGCAAAGAAAGAUAAAGAUCUGAUGGAGGAGAUGAAAUCAACAACCUCAUGAACUAUUACAAGGGAGAAAAGGAGUUGAAGUAGGAGAGGAAUAGGCUGACACAGUUCUGAACAUGCAAGGGAAUAAGAGAAAACUGCUCAGUCUAGGACAUGCUCCAGAUCCCAUGACGUGCAGAAGCUGACCAACACAAGGGCAAAUAAAAUCAAACUCAGGGGAGAAAGCUUUGGUUCUGCUUUCGGAUAGAAGUGUAGUGACAGUUCCCACACAAGACCUUCUACCAACCAAUCCUCGGAUACUUGACUAAGUUGAUGAUCUUCCACA
Long non-coding RNA from Salvia splendens (bonfire salvia), 771 nucleotides. RefSeq lists it as uncharacterized. The record is from RefSeq and is a predicted model, not a curated record. NCBI's taxonomy places the organism in Eukaryota, Viridiplantae, Streptophyta, Magnoliopsida, Lamiales, Lamiaceae. The transcript has 5 exons.